CCUGUGUCAACUAUGGGGCCACCUGGAAGGUACUGGGCCCGGGAGGUGAAAGGAUCUGAAGAUGGAAGUUUCAAAAUCAACAGAUGAAGGCCUAAUGCCCAAAACGUUGACUCUCCUGCUCCUCGGAUGCUGCCUGACCUGCUGUGCUUUUCCAGCGCCGCACUUUCUGACUCUGACUCUCCAGCGUCUGCAGUCCUUACUUUGACGUCCAUGUCUGACAGUCAUUCAAUCCAAUCCAUCGGGACCGCAACAGUUUGCAACUAUGAUUCCGUGAGGAGCAAAGCUGUUUGGUUCCUGUUUGGGUAUGUUUUCAGCAUCAGUGGGACUGGAUGAGAGACCCUACCAUUGCAGUGCACUGAGUGAGGAGCGUGUAACAGCUAUACGGUUUGGAAAGAGGAAUUCACGGUGGAGAGAAGCUCCACAUGCGUUUGUGCGGCUGAAGCUUCGGCCAUGGAGAAACCCGAGGAAUCCCGCCCCGUAGAGAAACCACGGAAGUGUGGUGACUGUUCGAAAGGCUUGUUUCCCGUCUGCCCUGGAGACUCAUUGGCGCAGUCACACUGGGGAGAGGCCGUUCCCCUGCCCUGACUGCAGGAAGGACUUCAGCGAUUCCUCCAACCUCCAGACCCACCAGUGGAUCCACAUGGGGGAGAGGCCCUUAAGCUGCCCCGAGUGCGGGAAGGCCGUUACCCAGGCUGCCUCCUUGCUGACCAACCAGCGGGAUCACGUGGCAUUGCAGGAGGAUUGAAAGAAAGACGGCCGAGUGCCUUUACCAACUGGACUAUCAACCCAGUUCCAGUGGCUCCCGAGUUCGAUUCCCACAACAGAUGGCGGAAUUGGAAUUUGGUCAGAAAUCUGGAGUUCAGAAUCUAACGGUGAAACUAUUGUCGGUGG
Molecule: long non-coding RNA, 891 nt
Organism: Hemiscyllium ocellatum (epaulette shark)
Lineage: Eukaryota; Metazoa; Chordata; Chondrichthyes; Orectolobiformes; Hemiscylliidae
Exons: 2
Source: RefSeq, a predicted model, not a curated record